This 496-nucleotide ribosomal RNA is filed under the name uncultured bacterium. RNAcentral's name for it is "partial 16S ribosomal RNA". It matches the Rfam family "Bacterial small subunit ribosomal RNA", at positions 29 to 507 of the family's 1533-position model. The record is from RNAcentral.
AUGAACGCUGGCGGCGUGCCUAAUACAUGCCAGUCGAGCGAACAGACGAGGAGCUUGCUCCUCUGACGUUAGCGGCGGACGGGUGAGUAACACGUGGAUAACCUACCUAUAAGACUGGGAUAACUUCGGGAAACCGGAGCUAAUACCGGAUAAUAUAUUGAACCGCAUGGUUCAAUAGUGAAAGACGGUUUUGCUGUCACUUAUAGAUGGAUCCGCGCCGCAUUAGCUAGUUGGUAAGGUAACGGCUUACCAAGGCAACGAUGCGUAGCCGACCUGAGAGGGGGAUCGGCCACACUGGAACUGAGACCCGGUCCAGACUCCUACGGGAGGCAGCAGUAGGGAAUCUUCCGCAAUGGGCGAAAGCUUGACGGAGCAACGCCGCGUGAGUGAUGAAGGUCUUCGGAUCGUAAAACUCUGUUAUUAGGGAAGAACAAAUGUGUAAGUAACUAUGCACGUCUUGACGGUACCUAAUCAGAAAGCCACGGCUAACUACGUG